This 220-nucleotide unclassified non-coding RNA is filed under the name Hevea brasiliensis (rubber tree). The record is from RNAcentral. Lineage: Eukaryota; Viridiplantae; Streptophyta; Magnoliopsida; Malpighiales; Euphorbiaceae.
GGCAAUCAUAUCAGAAGACAUCGAUGAUACGUCAACAAAGUGCUCAGCUUCUGACUGGGUGCGCUGUCUCCAUUCAGUACCAUCAUUCUGACUCAAGGCAUAGCAGAAGACCUCAACAAUUCCACGGUUGUGCAUUCCAAAUACAGAACCCAUAAGAUGAGACAGAGGGUGGUUACCAAAGUCACUACUGACAUACCCCACUCUAAGACGACCAUUUAUU